UCUAGUUACUUCCCUAGCAGUCCUAUCCCACAUACUGUCCACAUUCGCACUAUUCCCCAAGACCCCAUAGCCAUCAACUUUUUCCCCAUCUCUAGGGCACUUGUCAUAGUCAAGCUAACCCAUUUAAUCCUUAACCGAUUAUCCCCAACCUUCUUCCUCCUCUCCCUCUUGAUCUCCAAAUUCAUCACCAGGAGUUGAUGUUGGGUCAUAAGAUUCUUACUUGGGAUAAACUUACAG
RNAcentral lists this unclassified non-coding RNA (237 nucleotides) under Hevea brasiliensis (rubber tree). The record is from RNAcentral. Lineage: Eukaryota; Viridiplantae; Streptophyta; Magnoliopsida; Malpighiales; Euphorbiaceae.